GCCUAAUACAUGCAAGUCGAACGGUCUUUCUAUGGAAGCUUGCUCCCACUGAGAAGAUAGUGGCGAACGGGUGAGUAACACGUGGGUAACCUGCCCAUAAGAGGGGGAUAACAUCCGGAAACGGGUGCUAAUACCGCAUAGUUUUCUUGAUCGCAUGAUCGGGAAAGGAAAGACGGCCUUUGUGCUGUCGCUUAUGGAUGGACCCGCGGCGUAUUAGUUAGUUGGUGAGGUAACGGCUCACCAAGACGAUGAUACGUAGCCGACCUGAGAGGGUGAUCGGCCACAUUGGGACUGAGACACGGCCCAAACUCCUACGGGAGGCAGCAGUAGGGAAUCUUCCGCAAUGGACGAAAGUCUGACGGAGCAACGCCGCGUGAGUGAAGAAAGGUUUUCGGAUCGUAAAACUCUGUUGUCAGAGAAGAACAAGUUGGAGAGUAACUGCUCCAGCCUUGACGGUAUCUGACCAGAAAGCCACGGCUAACUACGUGCCAGCAGCCGC
RNAcentral lists this ribosomal RNA (499 nucleotides) under uncultured bacterium. RNAcentral describes it as "bacterial SSU rRNA". It matches the Rfam family "Bacterial small subunit ribosomal RNA", at positions 46 to 518 of the family's 1533-position model. The record is from RNAcentral.